RNAcentral lists this small nuclear RNA (104 nucleotides) under Meriones unguiculatus (Mongolian gerbil). Lineage: Eukaryota; Metazoa; Chordata; Mammalia; Rodentia; Muridae. The record is from RNAcentral.
GUAUUCUCUUUGGCAGCACAAAUAUUAAAACUGGAAUGAUACAGAGAUUAGCAUGGCCCUUGCAGAAGGAUAAUGUGCAAAUUCAUGAACUGUUCUGUAUUUUA